CAGUAGCCGCGGGAAUACGUAGGGUGCGAGCGUUAAUCGGAAUUACUGGGCGUAAAGCGUGCGCAGGCGGUGAUGUAAGACAGUUGUGAAAUCCCCGGGCUCAACCUGGGAACUGCAUCUGUGACUGCAUCGCUGGAGUGCGGCAGAGGGGGAUGGAAUUCCGCGUGUAGCAGUGAAAUGCGUAGAUAUGCGGAGGAACACCGAUGGCGAAGGCAAUCCCCUGGGCCUGCACUGACGCUCAUGCACGAAAGCGUAGGGAGCAAACAGGAUUAGAUACCCGCGUAGUCCCUGUCUCUUAUAC
RNAcentral lists this ribosomal RNA (301 nucleotides) under uncultured bacterium. RNAcentral's name for it is "partial 16S ribosomal RNA". It matches the Rfam family "Bacterial small subunit ribosomal RNA", at positions 509 to 807 of the family's 1533-position model. The record is from RNAcentral.